CUCUUAGACUAAGAAUUUGUCAAGACAGAUGUAAGCCAAGUGGUAAUUUAGUCAGUGUGGUGAGAUACUGUGUUGGUUUUAGCUUCAAUGCCCUCUAAAAAACACUCCACCUGAGUGGAAUUUGCUGUCUUAAGGAAAGAUUGGCUGCUGUCAACCAUGGCUUUCUCAAAAGAGCUCUCAGCAGACCUACGUUCAAAAGUGAUAGAAAUGAGCAAAUCUGGAAAUUCUUUCAAAGGUAUCUCUGAAAGCCUUAACGUUCAUGUCUCCACAGGGAGACAGACUUCCCACACACGGAGCGCUGGAGGGGCCUCCGAAUGGGACUGAUCUUCUCUAUGUGACAAGGCAGAAGACAGGUUUUGAACAAGCUGGUGGACAUACAGGAUCUCCCCUCUGGCCUCCUCUGCUGGGUGUGGAUUUGUGGAGCUCUGGGGGGGUUUGGUGGGGUGCUCAACAAGCUGCCACUGGGACAGAGAGGUGUGCUCACUCCCAGUCACAGCAUCAGCCAGAUUAAAUACAGAGUCCGUUACUGCACCUAGUUUGGUAUAAUAGUUUUUCUGGUGUUUGAAUGUAAUUUCAAAACCUUCAGAUGAGUUGCUUCCUUCUCCGCUUCCAUCCACACCUUUGUCUUCUUCUGACACAGCUCUACUCCUGACUUCUGAUAAAUCAGUGCCUUCCCUGUCCUGCUCUUUGCCCUCACCUGAAUAAUUUUCUAGGUUGUCUUGUUGUAGGGGGUAGGCCAUGGUCAUUACCUCAAGGGACCCUGCUUUUGCUUCCAAUGGCUGCCAGGAAGAUUCUUGGACUACAUGGGCCACAUUUCUAGGAGAGUCUUGUUUGGAGUCAUCUAUGGACUUAGUGACCCACUGAAUGUGACUGCUGGGAGCAGUAGAUAAAUCAAAUCCUUCUCUGCGGCCCAGAAGACUUGAUAUAUUGUGAAGUUGAUUGGAUGAAAAACUGUCAAUCAGAGCUGAUGCAAAAUCUAUGGAAAACAGAGAGAAAAAGGUAAAAUUAGAUCAUAACACCCUUUUUGAGGGAAAAUUAUAUUAUGAUGGUUUUGAAUUUCUAGAUGUCAAUUGAAUUUGUC
This 1081-nucleotide long non-coding RNA is filed under the name Oryzias sinensis (Chinese medaka). RNAcentral's name for it is "lncRNA (ENSOSIG00000006277.1)". Lineage: Eukaryota; Metazoa; Chordata; Actinopteri; Beloniformes; Adrianichthyidae. The record is from RNAcentral.